GUGAGGAAUAUUGCGCAAUGGAGGCAACUCUGACGCAGCCAUGCCGCGUGCAGGAAGAAGGCGCUACGCGUUGUAAACUGCUUUUAACCGGGAAGAAACCCCAGGACGUGUCCUGGGUUGACGGUACCGGAGGAAUAAGCACCGGCUAACUUCGUGCCAGCAGCCGCGGUAAUACGAAGGGUGCAAGCGUUAUCCGGAUUCAUUGGGUUUAAAGGGUGCGUAGGCGGAGCGUUAAGUCAGUGGUGAAAUCCUGCAGCUUAACUGUAGACUUGCCAUUGAUGCUGGCGCGCUUGAGUGCGCUUGAAGUGGGCGGAAUGUGCCGUGUAGCGGUGAAAUGCUUAGAUAUGGCACAGAACACCAAUUGCGAAGGCAGCUCACUAAGGCGAUACUGACGCUGAGGCACGAAAGCGUGGGGAUCGAACAGGAUUAGAUACCCUGGUAGUCC
Molecule: ribosomal RNA, 445 nt
Filed under: uncultured bacterium
Lineage: Bacteria
Description: partial 16S ribosomal RNA
Rfam family: Bacterial small subunit ribosomal RNA
Source: RNAcentral